GGAGGCUUCUACAAGUCUUCCAUAACUCCCAAAUAAUUCAGAGUCCACUCAGCUUGAUGUUGAUGGGAAAGAGUGGAGCACCAUAGCAUUUGGCUGGAAGGUCCAUUUCUCCAUUACAAUGACAACCAAUGGUCCCAAUAUUCUGUCCCGUAUUACAAUGACUUCGUCAAAAAUCGUAAUUUAUCACAUGUUUCCAUCGCGAAGGAUAAAAACAGAAUCGAAGACUUU
Molecule: unclassified non-coding RNA, 228 nt
Filed under: Hevea brasiliensis (rubber tree)
Lineage: Eukaryota; Viridiplantae; Streptophyta; Magnoliopsida; Malpighiales; Euphorbiaceae
Source: RNAcentral